CUCGAAAAGUUAUGCGGAAUUGACUACUCGAACGUGUCAAUCAGAUACCAGACGAAGAAGUAAUCAUCAGACUGAUUUGAAGGGCAAGGUAGUCUUUUCACAAAUAGAACGACCCGGGGUUCCCUUAGAAAAAAGAGUGUAUGCAAUAGUAUUAUCCUUGGUCUUAUCUUCACCAUUGAGGAUCUAAUUUCUUAUUCUUUUACAUUCUCUCAUUCUUAUCUUCUUCUUCUUUCUCUCUUUUCUCCUCUUCUCCUGUUAUUCCUUCUCUGUCGAAUUCGAGAAAUUAAAUUAGAGUUUUGAGAUAGAAAUAGGUUGAGAAGAUCAUGGAGUUACUGAUAGUGAUUUUGUUGUUGUCUGUUGUUGAUUCAGACUUGAAGGAGAAAGUAAAUCAGAAGUUGGGGUUUCUAAGUUUUUGUAUUGAUUGAAGAUUCUUGAGAGUUGAAGAUGAGAUCGAAACAAGAGGAGGAAGACUAAGGAUGGGUAUUCAUUAUUUGUAGCAAAUAAGAUGAUUUACCAAGUGAUUCUCAAGCUACGGUGGAGGAUCGAUUAAUUGGGGUUUUGUUUGAGUUGCAAUUCGAAGCUAGAAUUUGUAAGAAGAACUCAGAUAAUGAUUUGAAGAUGAAAUUGACGUUCUAGGAUGAUGUGUUGAGAUGGGUAAUGAGUAAAUUGAAGAUUUAAUUUGAUAAUAUAUUUGAGUAUCUUUGAUUUAGGGUUCUUGAGUUUGGGUAGCAUAUGGAAAAGACGAGACUGUUGUUGAGUGGACUAAGAAGACUUCAGAGUUGGUACAUGAGGAUUGGAAUGAGUUUGGAAUGAAGCUGUGGGUGAAAUUUAGAUUAUUAUUGAGUUACAGGGGAUAACUGGUGGUGGUGAAUCCGAAGAAGAUGUUGAGUGUGGUUGUUGUGUAUGUUGUUGGUUCAUGAGAUACUCUUGCAGGUGGAUGUAACUGAAUGUGCUGGUGGUUUUUCUAGUGAAUUAUAGCCGAGUCUUCUCAGACUUGCAGGGGAGUUAGAUGAAUGUAUUUGGAAUUGGUGAAUGUUGUUGGUGGUGGUAUUGUUAUUGCUGUAAGUUAUAGUUGUGAUUGAUGUGGAUAAUAUAUUGUUUUGAAAUGGAAUUGGGCUGGUAUUGCAGAUGAUGUUGAGGUUGUUUUGUGUUGGUGUAGAUGUAUACAAUGGUUUUUUGCUGCUGCGAUACAGAGUUGCAUGCGAAAGAGUGAUGGAUGAUAGAAAUGGGGAUAAUGUUUAUGUAUGGAUUGGUUAUGGCUAUGGUGAAGUUGAAGAGGCAGUUCAUGAGAAUGGUGUUACUAAAUUUACAGAUUGUGUAGGCAGGUUCUGAAAUGGGGGUGUUGGAUUGAGUUUCAGUUUUAGAUGUUGGAAAUUGGUAUUGGUGGUUGUGUUGAUGACUGUUGGAUGAGCUGUGGUGAUUGAAAUGGAGCUCUCAAGUAAAGUCUAAUAAAUGUUUUUGAGAUUGUGUAUUAGAGAGAGUAAAAACGACAGGUUGGUUGGAGUUGAAAUAUUACAGAUGGAGGCAUGGAUAGAUGUUUAACUGAAGUGAUUUUAGUUCAUGGGUUGGUUGGUUAUGAAUUAGAGAGUGGUGAAAACGAGACCGGACUUAGUUUGAUGGUGCCGUCUGAACAUUUUUGCUGCAAAUUGACAUUGAGUUGGUAAUGUUAAGGUAAUGAUGUUGUAGUGAGAGUUGAGUUUGAGUUUCAAUUGGAACAACAUAAGAAUUAGUAUAACUCUUAGAUUUUGUAUGUGCUGAUAGGAUGUACAAGCUGAAGUAGAUUGUAAUGUUGUCAUGGCAGUGAUCUUAGUGAAAGGCUGCAAUUGCAGAUCAAGGCAAUCUUAAAUUGCAGAUGCAUUGGAAUUCUGUUUAAGUGAAGGAUUUGUGCAAUGUUGUAAUGAAUAGAAUCAGGUUAA
This is a long non-coding RNA of Papaver somniferum (opium poppy), 1916 nucleotides long. RefSeq lists it as uncharacterized. The transcript is spliced from 2 exons. Lineage: Eukaryota; Viridiplantae; Streptophyta; Magnoliopsida; Ranunculales; Papaveraceae. The record is from RefSeq and is a predicted model, not a curated record.